This 444-nucleotide ribosomal RNA is filed under the name uncultured bacterium. RNAcentral describes it as "bacterial SSU rRNA". It matches the Rfam family "Bacterial small subunit ribosomal RNA", at positions 338 to 797 of the family's 1533-position model. The record is from RNAcentral.
CCUACGGGAGGCUGCAGUGGGGAAUCUUGCGCAAUGGGCGAAAGCCUGACGCAGCGACGCCGCGUGCGGGAUGACGGCCUUCGGGUUGUAAACCGCUGUCGGGAGGGACGAAGCUCUGACGGUACCUCCAAAGGAAGCACCGGCUAACUCUGUGCCAGCAGCCGCGGUAAUACAGAGGGUGCGAGCGUUGUCCGGAAUCACUGGGCGUAAAGGGCGCGUAGGCGGCCUGGUAAGUCGGGGGUGAAACGCUGCGGCUCAACCGCAGCACUGCCUUCGAGACUGUCAGGCUUGAGCACGGUAGAGGCUGGUGGAAUUCCCGGUGUAGCGGUGGAAUGCGUAGAGAUCGGGAAGAACAUCGGUGGCGAAGGCGGCCAGCUGGGCCGUUGCUGACGCUGAGGCGCGACAGCGUGGGGAGCAAACAGGAUUAGAUACCCCUGUAGUCCU